RNAcentral lists this ribosomal RNA (774 nucleotides) under uncultured Bacteroidota bacterium. Its description in RNAcentral is "bacterial SSU rRNA". It matches the Rfam family "Bacterial small subunit ribosomal RNA", at positions 102 to 878 of the family's 1533-position model. The record is from RNAcentral. Lineage: Bacteria; Pseudomonadati; Bacteroidota.
ACGGGUGCGUAACGCGUAUGCAACCUACCUUCUUCUAAGGAAUAGCCCAGAGAAAUUUGGAUUAAUACCUUAUGUUAAUAUUUAUCCGCAUGUUUAAAUAUUUAAAACUCCGGUGGAAGAAGAUGGGCAUGCGUAACAUUAGUUUGUUGGUGAGGUAAUGGCUCACCAAGACUACGAUGUUUAGGGGGUCUGAGAGGAUGAUCCCCCACACUGGUACUGAGACACGGACCAGACUCCUACGGGAGGCAGCAGUGAGGAAUAUUGGUCAAUGGACGAAAGUCUGAACCAGCCAUGCCGCGUGAAGGAUGACGGCCCUACGGGUUGUAAACUUCUUUUGUAUAGGAAGAAACCCCUCUACGUGUAGAGGGUUGACGGUACUAUUCGAAUAAGCACCGGCUAACUCCGUGCCAGCAGCCGCGGUAAUACGGAGGGUGCGAGCGUUAUCCGGAAUUAUUGGGUUUAAAGGGUGCGUAGGCGGAAAUUUAAGUCAGUGGUGAAAGCCUGCAGCUUAACUGUAGAAUUGCCAUUGAUACUGGAUUUCUUGAAUCUAAUAGAAGUAGGCGGAAUAUGACAUGUAGCGGUGAAAUGCUUAGAUAUGUCAUAGAACACCGAUAGCGAAGGCAGCUUACUAUGUUAGUAUUGACGCUAAUGCACGAAAGCGUGGGGAGCGAACAGGAUUAGAUACCCUGGUAGUCCACGCCGUAAACUAUGAUUACUCGCUAUUGGCGAUACACUGUCAGUGGCUAAGCGAAAGUGAUAAUAAUCCACCUGGGA